This 486-nucleotide ribosomal RNA is filed under the name uncultured bacterium. RNAcentral's name for it is "partial 16S ribosomal RNA". It matches the Rfam family "Bacterial small subunit ribosomal RNA", at positions 30 to 507 of the family's 1533-position model. The record is from RNAcentral.
AUUGAACGCUGGCGGCAUGCCUUACACAUGCAAGUCGAACGGCAGCACGGGUGCUUGCACCUGGUGGCGAGUGGCGAACGGGUGAGUAAUACAUCGGAACAUGUCCUGUAGUGGGGGAUAGCCCGGCGAAAGCCGGAUUAAUACCGCAUACGAUCUACGGAUGAAAGCGGGGGACCUUCGGGCCUCGCGCUAUAGGGUUGGCCGCUGGCUGAUUAGCUAGUUGGUGGGGUAAAGGCCUACCAAGGCGACGAUCAGUAGCUGGUCUGAGAGGACGACCAGCCACACUGGGACUGAGACACGGCCGAGACUCCUACGGGAGGCAGCAGUGGGGAAUUUUGGACAAUGGGCGAAAGCCUGAUCCAGCAAUGCCGCGUGUGUGAAGAAGGCCUUCGGGUUGUAAAGCACUUUUGUCCGGAAAGAAAUCCUUGGCCCUAAUACGGUCGGGGGAUGACGGUACCGGAAGAAUAAGCACCGGCUAACUACGUG